GGAAAGAAAGUGACUGACUCUUCCCUUGUGAUGAUAAAUAGAUGGCUUGCUGAAGCCAUGAUAGAGACCGAAACUGUUGGGUCGGGUUGCUACCUAACCAUGAUUGUAUCCUUUUUCAAGCCUAAUAUUGAAAGGUCCCUGAGUGGUUCAUUAAGUAAGCAAGCAUUGAUGCUAGGACAAUGAAAAAUGCACACUUAAUUGGUUGCGACAGAGAGAAAGGAUCUACAGUUGGAGUCACUAAUUUCAAGUUGCCUAACAAAAGACUGGGGAUUUACCAUGUAGGCAAAACUAACUGGCGGGAAGAAGGAAUUUUAUUUCUAGCCAAGAAGAUCAAGAGAGGACAAAGAAUAGAAGAAGGCUCAUCAGCAACUCUAGAAAUACAAAUGCCACCACCUAGAUCAAGCUACUGGUAGACGAAGUUUCAGAAAGCACCAAGUUAUGAGGGAGUCCAUGAAGGAUGGCAGCAGGAAUAGUGCUGGAGGCACUGACAGAAGCAUGGGCACAAGGCCCUUAUGCACCACAUAUCCAACAGCCGGCGUAUCCAGUACGACCAAAAUUUCAGCAACCAGCACAUCCACCUCCACUGGCACCAUAUGCUUUUCACGGGUAUAUGCCACCUCCUUUUCAGGAACCCCC
Molecule: long non-coding RNA, 636 nt
Filed under: Setaria viridis
Lineage: Eukaryota; Viridiplantae; Streptophyta; Magnoliopsida; Poales; Poaceae
Description: long non-coding RNA (SVIR_LNC001526)
Source: RNAcentral